RNAcentral lists this ribosomal RNA (447 nucleotides) under uncultured bacterium. RNAcentral's name for it is "partial 16S ribosomal RNA". It matches the Rfam family "Bacterial small subunit ribosomal RNA", at positions 29 to 523 of the family's 1533-position model. The record is from RNAcentral.
AGUGAACGCUGGCGGCAGGCUUAACACAUGCAAGUCGAACGCACCGCAAGGUGAGUGGCAGACGGGUGAGUAACGCGUGGGAACCUUCCCUUUGGUUCAGGAUAGCUCCGGGAAACUGGAAUUAAUACUGGAUAAGAUCUACGGAUGAAAGAUUUAUCGCCGAAGGAUGGGCCCGCGUAAGAUUAGCUAGUUGGUGAGGUAAUGGCUCACCAAGGCAAUGAUCUUUAGCUGGUCUGAGAGGAUGAUCAGCCACACUGGAACUGAGACACGGUCCAGACUCCUACGGGAGGCAGCAGUGAGGAAUAUUGGACAAUGGGCGCAAGCCUGAUCCAGCCAUGCCGCGUGAGUGAUGAAGGCCUUAGGGUUGUAAAACUCUUUUAGUAGGGAAAAUAAUGAUGGUACCGGGAGAAUAAGCUCCGGCUAACUCCGUGCCAGCAGCCGCAGUAA